CAUGUACUCCCUCUGUCCCGAAUUACUUGUCAUGGAAAUGGAUAAAAAUGGAUGUAUCUAGAACUAAAAUACGUCUAGAUACAUUCAUUUCUGCGACAAGUAAUUUCGGACGAAAGGAGUACUCC
Non-coding RNA from Hordeum vulgare subsp. vulgare (domesticated barley), 125 nucleotides. The record is from Rfam. NCBI's taxonomy places the organism in Eukaryota, Viridiplantae, Streptophyta, Magnoliopsida, Poales, Poaceae.